Sorghum bicolor (sorghum) is the source of this 552-nucleotide long non-coding RNA. RefSeq lists it as uncharacterized. Lineage: Eukaryota; Viridiplantae; Streptophyta; Magnoliopsida; Poales; Poaceae. The record is from RefSeq and is a predicted model, not a curated record. The transcript is spliced from 2 exons.
UUGUGUUUAUGGAUUUAUGGUUUUCAGGAUCAAGCACCAAGGAGCAGGAGUCCCAGCAGAAAUAUUGUCACAAAUGUAUGAGGAGGACAAUAAAGAGCAGUCAGAGGAGGGUUUGAGCCUUCUUGUUUCUAGAAACCUUCUGAGGCUCAUGAAUGGUAACAUUCGUCACCUCAGGGAAGCUGGCAUGUCAACCUUCAUCCUCACUGCUGAACUUGCUGCUGCUCCUUCAGCAGUUGGACAAUGAAGCCAUCACAUGCUCUCUCAGAGUUCAUUCUGAAAGCCACGGUGGUUUGCGGAGAAUGGGAAAUGCUGCAGCGCGUUGCAUCACCGAAUGCAUAAGAAAUAAGAUUGACUUGUAUGGUUAUUUGUUAGGGGGGGAAAGUUGUACUGGCAUAGACGCAUAGUAAGGUUCCAUACUUCUGCUCUGUUUGUGCCUGUAAACCAACUGUGCAAGUUUUAAACUUCCAGAAACAAAGAAAAAACCAAGUUCAAGUUAAUAUGAAUAAUAAAGUGUUUUUAUAAAAAAGUGAUAAAUUAUUAAAUUUAGCGGCA